Molecule: ribosomal RNA, 415 nt
Filed under: uncultured bacterium
Lineage: Bacteria
Description: bacterial SSU rRNA
Rfam family: Bacterial small subunit ribosomal RNA
Source: RNAcentral
UCGGGAAUAUUGCGCAAUGGAGGAAACUCUGACGCAGUGACGCCGCGUAUGGGAAGAAGGUUUUCGGAUUGUAAACCAUUUUAGACAAGGAAGAAAAAAGACAGUACUUGUAGAAUAAACUCCGGCUAACUACGUGCCAGCAGCCGCGGUAAUACGUAGGGAGCAAGCGUUAUCCGGAUUUAUUGGGUGUAAAGGGUGCGUAGACGGGAAGGUAAGUUAGUUGUGAAAUCCCUCGGCUCAACUGAGGAACUGCGACAUAAACUGCUUUUCUUGAGUACUGGAGAGGAAAGUGGAAUUCCUAGUGUAGCGGUGAAAUGCGUAGAUAUUAGGAGGAACACCAGUGGCGAAGGCGACUUUCUGGACAGUAACUGACGUUGAGGCACGAAAGUGUGGGGAGCAAACAGGAUUAGAUACC